GAAACGCGAUAGUUAAUGUGAAUUGCAGAAUUCAGUGAAUCAUCGAGUCUUUGAACGCACAUUGCGCCCAUAGGUAUUCCUUUGGGCAUGUCUGUUUGAGCGUCAUUACAAACCUCAGCUAACCGCUGGUUUUGAACCUGAACGGGUGACACCGCGCCGGUUUUAAAGUUGUAAGCUCUGCUGGCCGCUCUGCCCAACCAGAACAUAGUAAGCACUACUUGUCCGGGUGAAGCUGAACGGUACGGCCUGAACAAAACCUACCCACUCUCAAGGUUUGACCUCAGAUCAGACAAGGAUACCCGCUGAACUUAAGC
Molecule: unclassified non-coding RNA, 314 nt
Filed under: plant metagenome
Description: partial contains 5.8S ribosomal RNA, internal transcribed spacer 2, and large subunit ribosomal RNA
Rfam family: 5.8S ribosomal RNA (bases 1-105)
Source: RNAcentral